Molecule: ribosomal RNA, 465 nt
Filed under: Vreelandella stevensii
Lineage: Bacteria; Pseudomonadati; Pseudomonadota; Gammaproteobacteria; Oceanospirillales; Halomonadaceae
Description: partial 16S ribosomal RNA
Rfam family: Bacterial small subunit ribosomal RNA
Source: RNAcentral
CCUACGGGAGGCUGCAGUGGGGAAUAUUGGACAAUGGGGGCAACCCUGAUCCAGCCAUGCCGCGUGUGUGAAGAAGGCCCUCGGGUUGUAAAGCACUUUCAGUGAGGAAGAACGCCUGGUGGUUAAUACCCAUCAGGAAAGACAUCACUCACAGAAGAAGCACCGGCUAACUCCGUGCCAGCAGCCGCGGUAAUACGGAGGGUGCGAGCGUUAAUCGGAAUUACUGGGCGUAAAGCGCGCGUAGGUGGCUUGAUAAGCCGGUUGUGAAAGCCCCGGGCUCAACCUGGGAACGGCAUCCGGAACUGUCAAGCUAGAGUGCAGGAGAGGAAGGUAGAAUUCCCGGUGUAGCGGUGAAAUGCGUAGAGAUCGGGAGGAAUACCAGUGGCGAAGGCGGCCUUCUGGACUGACACUGACACUGAGGUGCGAAAGCGUGGGUAGCAAACAGGAUUAGAUACUCUAGUAGUC